AUACAGAGGGUGCAAGCGUUAAUCGGAAUUACUGGGCGUAAAGCGCGCGUAGGCGGCUUAUCAAGUUAGGCGUGAAAGGCCUGGGCUCAACCCGGGAACUGCGCUUAAUACUGGUAGACUUGAGUCCGAGAGAGGGUGGCGGAAUUCCCAGUGUAGAGGUGAAAUUCGUAGAUAUUGGGAAGAACACCAGUGGCGAAGGCGGCCACCUGGCCCGGUACUGACGCUGAGGUGCGAAAGCGUGGGGAGCAAACAGAAUUAGAAACCCCAGUAGUCC
This 274-nucleotide ribosomal RNA is filed under the name uncultured bacterium. RNAcentral's name for it is "partial 16S ribosomal RNA". It matches the Rfam family "Bacterial small subunit ribosomal RNA", at positions 523 to 796 of the family's 1533-position model. The record is from RNAcentral.